UAGGGAAUCUUCCGCAAUGGGCGAAAGCUUGACGGAGCAACGCCGCGUGAGUGAUGAAGGUCUUCGGAUCGUAAAACUCUGUUAUUAGGGAAGAACAAAUGUGUAAGUAACUAUGCACGUCUUGACGGUACCUAAUCAGAAAGCCACGGCUAACUACGUGCCAGCAGCCGCGGUAAUACGUAGGUGGCAAGCGUUAUCCGGAAUUAUUGGGCGUAAAGCGCGCGUAGGCGGUUUUUUAAGUCUGAUGUGAAAGCCCACGGCUCAACCGUGGAGGGUCAUUGGAAACUGGAAAUCUUGAGUGCAGAAGAGGAAAGUGGAAUUCCAUGUGUAGCGGUGAAAUGCGCAGAGAUAUGGAGAAACACCAGUGGCGAAGGCGACUUUCUGGUCUGUAACUGACGCUGAUGUGCGAAAGCGGGGGGAUCAAACAGG
This 429-nucleotide ribosomal RNA is filed under the name Actinomycetes bacterium. Its description in RNAcentral is "Actinobacteria bacterium partial 16S ribosomal RNA". It matches the Rfam family "Bacterial small subunit ribosomal RNA", at positions 355 to 776 of the family's 1533-position model. Lineage: Bacteria; Bacillati; Actinomycetota; Actinomycetes. The record is from RNAcentral.